This 915-nucleotide ribosomal RNA is filed under the name Triticum aestivum (bread wheat). RNAcentral's name for it is "partial small subunit ribosomal RNA". Lineage: Eukaryota; Viridiplantae; Streptophyta; Magnoliopsida; Poales; Poaceae. The record is from RNAcentral.
AUGCAGAUCUUUGUGAAGACCCUCACCGGCAAGACCAUCACCCUCGAGGUCGAGUCGUCGGACACCAUCGACAAUGUCAAGGCCAAAAUCCAGGACAAGGAGGGCAUCCCUCCGGACCAGCAGCGUCUCAUCUUCGCUGGCAAGCAGCUUGAGGAUGGCCGCACCCUUGCUGACUACAACAUCCAGAAGGAGUCCACCCUCCACCUGGUGCUCAGGCUCCGUGGUGGCAUGCAGAUUUUUGUGAAGACCCUCACCGGCAAGACCAUCACCCUUGAGGUCGAGUCCUCGGACACUAUCGACAACGUCAAGGCUAAGAUCCAGGACAAGGAGGGCAUCCCUCCGGACCAGCAGCGUCUCAUCUUCGCUGGCAAGCAGCUUGAGGAUGGCCGCACCCUCGCUGACUACAACAUCCAGAAGGAGUCCACCCUCCACCUGGUGCUCAGGCUCCGUGGUGGCAUGCAGAUUUUUGUGAAGACCCUCACUGGCAAGACCAUCACCCUGGAGGUUGAGUCCUCGGACACCAUUGACAACGUGAAGGCGAAGAUCCAGGACAAGGAGGGCAUCCCCCCGGACCAGCAGCGUCUCAUCUUCGCUGGUAAGCAGCUUGAGGAUGGCCGCACCCUGGCGGACUAUAACAUCCAGAAGGAGUCCACCCUUCACCUGGUGCUCAGGCUCAGGGGUGGGAUGCAGAUUUUUGUGAAGACCCUCACCGGCAAGACCAUCACCCUUGAGGUCGAGUCCUCGGACACCAUCGACAACGUCAAGGCUAAGAUCCAGGACAAGGAGGGCAUCCCUCCGGACCAGCAGCGUCUCAUCUUUGCUGGCAAGCAGCUUGAGGAUGGCCGCACCCUCGCUGACUACAACAUCCAGAAGGAGUCCACCCUCCACCUGGUGCUCAGGCUCCGUGGUGUGUGA